RNAcentral lists this ribosomal RNA (648 nucleotides) under Microstegium nudum. RNAcentral describes it as "eukaryotic LSU rRNA". The stretch from base 212 to 367 matches the Rfam family "5.8S ribosomal RNA". The record is from RNAcentral. Lineage: Eukaryota; Viridiplantae; Streptophyta; Magnoliopsida; Poales; Poaceae.
UCGUGACCCUUAAACAAAACAGACCGCGAACGCGUCUCCCGUGUCGCUGGGCGCACGCCCGGCACAAGGUCCCCGAGCUCCGUCCCGGGGCGGAGGGGCCACAAAAGAACCCACGGCGCCUUAGGCGUCAAGGAACACUCGUAUUGCCUCGCACGGCGGAGCGGUCGCAUGACUUCCGCUCCCCGGGCAGCGAUGACAUCUUAAUCCACACGACUCUCGGCAACGGAUAUCUCGGCUCUCGCAUCGAUGAAGAACGUAGCAAAAUGCGAUACCUGGUGUGAAUUGCAGAAUCCCGCGAACCAUCGAGUUUUUGAACGCAAGUUGCGCCCGAGGCCUUUUGGUUGAGGGCACGUCUGCCUGGGCGUCACGUCAAAAGACACUCCCAACCCACCCUCGGGGAGGGACGUGGAGUCUGGCCCCCCGUGCCGCGAGGCGCGGUGGGCCGAAGUUUGGGCUGCCGGCGAAUCGCGUCGGGCACAGCACGUGGUGGGCGACAGUUAGUUGUUCUCGGUGCAGCGCCCCGGCGCGUGGCCGGCGCAUCGGCCCUGAGGACCCAUCGCAUAGCCGCUCGUACCACCACCCCAGGUCAGACCGGACUACCCGCUGAAUUUAACCAUAUGAAUAAGCGUAUGAAGAAAACCUUUACAA